This 497-nucleotide ribosomal RNA is filed under the name uncultured bacterium. RNAcentral describes it as "partial 16S ribosomal RNA". It matches the Rfam family "Bacterial small subunit ribosomal RNA", at positions 28 to 507 of the family's 1533-position model. The record is from RNAcentral.
GACGAACGCUGGCGGCGUGCCUAAUACAUGCAAGUUGAGCGCUGAAGGUUGGUACUUGUACCAACUGGAUGAGCAGCGAACGGGUGAGUAACGCGUGGCGAAUCUGCCUUUGAGCGGGGGACAACAUUUGGAAACGAAUGCUAAUACCGCAUAAAAACUUUAAACACAAGUUUUAAGUUUGAAAGAUGCAAUUGCAUCACUCAAAGAUGAUCCCGCGUUGUAUUAGCUAGUUGGUGAGGUAAAGGCUCACCAAGGCGAUGAUACAUAGCCGACCUGAGAGGGUGAUCGGCCACAUUGGGACUGAGACACGGCCCAAACUCCUACGGGAGGCAGCAGUAGGGAAUCUUCGGCAAUGGACGAAAGUCUGACCGAGCAACGCCGCGUGAGUGAAGAAGGUUUUCGGAUCGUAAAACUCUGUUGGUAGAGAAGAACGUUGGUGAGAGUGGAAAGCUCAUCAAGUGACGGUAACUACCCAGAAAGGGACGGCUAACUACGUG